Molecule: long non-coding RNA, 1954 nt
Organism: Peromyscus leucopus (white-footed mouse)
Lineage: Eukaryota; Metazoa; Chordata; Mammalia; Rodentia; Cricetidae
Exons: 2
Source: RefSeq, a predicted model, not a curated record
AGGUAAAUGCAAUUGGAGCUUUGUUCUCUCACGCUGUUCUGCCCUGGGUUUCUGCCUUAUCACAUCCCAGAAGUAAGGGAAUCAGCGGCCAUGGACCCAAAACUCAAACUAUGAGUCCAGAUAAACCUUUGUUUCCUGAGGCUGUUAUUCUCGGGGUAUAUCUAAUUGCUCCAUACAAUUGACGAACACAAUUAUCUUAACCCCAGCUCGCUAUCUGCUGGUCCACUACCAUAUCCUAUUCAUGCCUAAAUAGCCACUGGCCACCAUCUGCGAGGGACAAGGUUCCCUUUGACCCACGGCUUGCUUUUCCUUUCUUCCUGCCUCCCCCUCAGAAGGAGAGACUGCGUAAACGAACCCUCAUUUCAACACUUCUUCUGGUGAAAUGACUCAUCAAAGAAUAACUGCAUGCUUGUGUUUGUGUCUUCAACCUGAUUUUGCAACAUCCAGGAAGUUGAUCAGCACUGACAUUUUGUAACACGCUGGCAUUGCCUCGCUGAGCUGCAAAGCAAUUCCAAAACAGCCCGGCCCUCAUUUGCUUCCACAGACUACGUCUGGAGAGGACAGGUUUCAGGUCAGAACGGAUUUUGGAAACUCUCUUUGUAGCCACUGAGCUGCCCGUCAUUCCUGGCUGUCCAUUCUGGUGCAAGAUCUAGUCCCAGCAGGCAAAGGAACUUUCUCUCAUAGACCUAAUCCCAACUCCUGCACCCCCUGAAUGGCUCGCCUUGAGAAGUGUUCUAAUGCCACGGUGUUUUCAGCAAACGCAUCACUUUCCUUUGGUUGCCAAUGGAGAUGAAGCUGGGGAUCCCAAGCGGGGGCUAAUGGACUAUGAGCCUGCAUAGGUACCAGGCUUAUUUGUGUCUCAGUACCAGCUUUGCUUGUAAUCAGCCAUAUGUUGCCGGGUUGCUUUGACGACCUGUCUGUAUCUAUUUUCUCAUUUUGAGAAUAGAGAUAGAACAUCAUCUACGUAGGGCCAUGGGAGGGUUAAAAGUACAGCAGGUCCACUGUCUAGCCAUGGACAUAGGGAGAUCACACUGUGUAGGUAUCUGCUGUUAUUGCCCUUCCCCUCUGGGGAUUAAACCCAAGUAGAGCACUAGUCAGGUGCUCUCCCAUUGAACUACAGCCCCAACUCAUGAGUUUGUUUGUUUAUGGGGCCAAAGCGGGCUAGAGAGAUAAUUCAGUGAUUAAGACCACUGGCUGCUCUUCCAGAAGAUCUGGGUUCAAUUCCUAGCACCCGUACGGCAGCUUAGGACCACCUGCAACUCUAGUUUUAAGGGAUCUGAUGCCCUCUUCUGGCCUCCACAGGUACCAGGGACACACACACGGUGCAAAGACAUACAGGCAGGCAAAACACCCAUACACAUAAAAUUUCAAAAAUGGGGCCUCAGUAUGGAGUUCAGCCUGGCCGUGAGUUUGAGAUCCUCCUGCCUCCGGUUCUCAAGAGCUGGGAUUACAGGGACAGCUGAUCACCUCUCUCGCAUGGGGCAAAAAGCUGGAUUCAUCUGGGUCCUUUACUGUAACUGACACCCGUGAUGGCCUGUUCCUCUCCAGGGUCACAGGAUGUCUCCCCAUUCAGUAGUCUAACAGAAGUUCCCCAAUCAGAACUUCUAUCAUGGUGGCCGGAUCCCAAAGAAGGUAAUGGAGGGAGCUGGUUCCUGUCAGGUCUGACAGCAUCAGAACUGCGUUGGUUCUGUCGAAAUCUUCUGAUGAAGGCAGGCCAAAAUGCCAGACCAGCUGGCAGAGGAGAAGGCGAAGCUCCUUACGAUGGGAUGAGCAGCAUGAAUCUUCAAAAGGAACCAGACAGAUUGGCUGUGACAUCGGAAGCUGAGCAGGUCAUUUAGAAGUGUGCUGUAUUGCUGGGUGUAGCUCGGUUGUUGAAUGCUUCUCUAGCCCAUGUGAGGCCUUGGGUGUAUACAACAAGUGCUUACAGUGAAUAAAUGACCGCUUUCAACAGAAA